RNAcentral lists this ribosomal RNA (486 nucleotides) under uncultured bacterium. Its description in RNAcentral is "partial 16S ribosomal RNA". It matches the Rfam family "Bacterial small subunit ribosomal RNA", at positions 30 to 507 of the family's 1533-position model. The record is from RNAcentral.
AUUGAACGCUGGCGGCAUGCCUUACACAUGCAAGUCGAACGGCAGCACGGGUGCUUGCACCUGGUGGCGAGUGGCGAACGGGUGAGUAAUACAUCGGAACAUGUCCUGUAGUGGGGGAUAGCCCGGCGAAAGCCGGAUUAAUACCGCAUACGAUCUACGGAUGAAAGCGGGGGACCUUCGGGCCUCGCGCUAUAGGGUUGGCCGAUGGCUGAUUAGCUAGUUGGUGGGGUAAAGGCCUACCAAAGCGACGAUCAGUAGCUGGUCUGAGAGGACGACCAGCCACACUGGGACUGAGACACGGCCCAGACUCCUACGGGAGGCAGCAGUGGGGAAUUUUGGACAAUGGGCGAAAGCCUGAUCCAGCAAUGCCGCGUGUGUGAAGAAGGCCUUCGGGUUGUAAAGCACUUUUGUCCGGAAAGAAAUCCUUGGCCCUAAUACGGUCGGGGGAUGACGGUACCGGAAGAAUAAGCACCGGCUAACUACGUG